CAGUUCACUCUGCCCAAGGCAGCUACACACAGAGAUGCCAUGUGUCUCUCAGCGAUACUCAUCCCUCCAACAAGAAAACUGAGACUAACUACAGGUGAUCGUCAGGCAAGACUUGUUUUCGCCUGUGACAAGAUGGAUACACGGAUCCAAUCUAUGUGGAAUGUGUACACUGCCUGCCUUGUCUGCCAUACAAUUGUUUGAAUGCGUGCCAUGUCUCGGGCCACUUGGACCUGGUACAUCUUGUGCGGCAUCAGUGGGCUGCUUUGCCUUUUUGCUAUUGCUAUCUUCGUAGUCAUCAACCUGCUCCACAUCAGAGCUCCCUUCAGCAUCCUCUUCAGAGUCCUGCUGACCAAAAACAUUCAGAGAAGAAAAUUUUGGAUUGAAGGUCGUGCAUAAACUUCUUUAUCAGAAAAAAAAAAAUAGCUGAGAGCCAAUACCAAUGAUAAUAAUAAUAAUAUUUGGGGUGUUACAUCCAAAAACUACAAUAUAAAUAUGAAAGAUGCCGUAGCGGAGGGCUCCAGAACUUUUGAACAUCUGGUGUUCUUUUAGAUACACUGACAUUGAUCACACAGUACAUGGGCGUCUAUUAUUUCAUUUCCUCAAAAUGCAACCACCGCGGCUGAGAUCAAACCCGCCACCUUCAGGUCAGCAGCUGAACACUUUAGCCACUGCUCUACCGCGGCCAAUUGGAAAGCUGAAACUAGUGUUCAACAGUGAUAAGAGGCGCCAUUCUCUUGUCAACACUCAAACAUUACAAAGAUGUGCUCCAUAGCAGCAAACUGAUCAGCACUGUCAAAGCUAGACCUAGAGUCAUUCCAUUAGGAUAGCCACUCUCAUGAAAUAUUUUGCAGUCUUCCUAGACAGGAAUAAAUUAAAAAGCUACGCAAAAAAAUCUGUAACAAUAAGUCAAUGUAUCUCAGUUCAAUAAAUCAUUUACAAUGACCAUACCUGCAAA
This is a long non-coding RNA of Rhipicephalus microplus (southern cattle tick), 955 nucleotides long. The record is from RefSeq and is a predicted model, not a curated record. NCBI's taxonomy places the organism in Eukaryota, Metazoa, Arthropoda, Arachnida, Ixodida, Ixodidae.